This 512-nucleotide ribosomal RNA is filed under the name uncultured bacterium. RNAcentral describes it as "partial 16S ribosomal RNA". It matches the Rfam family "Bacterial small subunit ribosomal RNA", at positions 28 to 523 of the family's 1533-position model. The record is from RNAcentral.
GAUGAACGCUGGCGGCAUGCCUAAUACAUGCAAGUCGAACGAGAGGAAGGAAAGCUUGCUUUUCUGAAUCUAGUGGCGAACGGGUGAGUAACACGUAGGUAACCUGCCCAUGUGCCCGGGAUAACUUCUGGAAACGGAUGCUAAAACCGGAUAGGUAGCAGACAAGCAUUUGACUGCUAUUAAAGUGGCUAAGGCCAUGAACAUGGAUGGACCUGCGGUGCAUUAGCUAGUUGGUGAGGUAACGGCCCACCAAGGCGACGAUGCAUAGCCGGGCUGGGAGGGCGGACGGCCACAUUGGGACUGAGACACGGCCCAAACUCCUACGGGAGGCAGCAGUAGGGAAUUUUCGUCAAUGGGGGGAACCCUGAACGAGCAAUGCCGCGUGAGUGAGGAAGGUCUUCGGAUCGUAAAGCUCUGUUGUAAGAGAAAAACGACAUUCAUAGGGAAUGAUGAGUGAGUGAUGGUAUCUUACCAGAAAGUCACGGCUAACUACGUGCCAGCCGCCGCUGUAA